This 6558-nucleotide long non-coding RNA is filed under the name Sus scrofa (pig). Its description in RNAcentral is "lncRNA (ENSSSCG00055030067.1)". Lineage: Eukaryota; Metazoa; Chordata; Mammalia; Artiodactyla; Suidae. The record is from RNAcentral.
GGUAUUGCUGUACUCUUUCAGUUUUUGAGAAAAUCUUUAUUUCCCCUUCUAUUUUAAAUGAUAUUCUUGCUGGGUAGAGUAUUCUAGGCUGCAAUUUUUUCCCUUUUAGAACUUUGCAUCUAGUUUGCCACUCUCUUCUGGCCUGUAGUGUUUCUGUAGAGAGAUCAGCUGAUAGCCUUAUGGGGGUUCCCUUAUAAUUCUUCAUUUUUCUUCUUUCUGCCUUUAGAAUCCUCUAUUUAACUUUUGCCAUUUUUAUUGUAAUACGUCUUGGUGUGGGUCUGUUUCAGGCCUUCUGUACUUCCUGUAUCUUGACAGCUGUUUCAUUUAGAUUUGGAAUGUUUUCAGUCAUAAUUUCCAAAUAUAUUUUUAACUCCCUUUUUAUUCUUCAGGAAUCUAUAUUAUGUAUAGGUUGGCCUGCAUUAUAUUAUCCCAUAGAUCUCAUUGCUUUCAUGUUUUUUUCAUUUAGUUUUCUUUCUGCUGUCCUGAUGGGAUGAUUUCCAUUAUUCUCUCUUCCAAAUCACUGCUUUGUUCCUCUGCAUUAUUCAUUCUGUUCUUCAGUGCCUCUAACCCAGCUUGUGUCUUUGCAAAUAAAUUUUCCAAUUUUUCUUGGCUCCUCCUUAUAUUUUCUAGUUCCUUUCUAAAAUAAUCUGCAUUGCUGUUCAUAUCCACUCUUCAUUCCUUUAUAUCUGCUCUCAAUCCAUUCAGAAUUUUCACUGUCUCUUUUUUGAACUCAUUGUCUGUUAGACUGCAGAGGUCUUGUUUCAUUGUUUGCUUCUUUGGGUGAAUUCUCUGUCCUUUCAAUUGGGAUUGUUUCUGAGCUUCUUCAUUUUGCUUAUAUUUUUCUUAUUCUUUGGAGCCUGAGUCUCAGUGCCCAGCCCCCUUCUGAGUGUCUCAGGCUGUGGAUUCCCGGGAGGUGGUACUGAUGUUGUGUGCAGUGCUCUCUCUCUCUCUGCUUUGCCCUCAGUCCAGAUGCUGGGUUUUUCUCUGAAGCUUGAGGUCCCUCUGUCUUGGCUGAUGCCCCUCAGGUGAUUUCACAGGGUGUGGAUUCCUUUCCUCUUUCUCAGCUCCCUCUCAGGAGUGCUGGUCCUGUAGUGAUGGCUUUGUUUCCCCUCUUCUUUUUUUUUUUUUUCCUUUUUGUUCUAUGCAGUUAUGCGGAGGGUUUCUUGCCAUUUUUAGAGGUUUAAGGUUUUCUUCCAGCAUUCAAUGGAUCUUCUGUGUGAAUUGACCUACAUGUAGAUCAGUUUUUUUCUUUUUUUUUUUUGAUUGUGGGAGAAAGUAAGCACCACAUCUUAGUCCUAUGCCAUCUGGAUCCCACCCCUCCAAAUGUAUCUCUCACAGUGAUACCCUUGGUGUGUGCAGCACCAUCUCUAAGGUAUUCUUGCUGAAAAACUCAGACCUGAUUGAGAACAGCUUCAGAUCUAACUAAAUUUAGAAAAUGGCACCUUUUGGAAUGUAAUUGGUCAAAUUGAGAAUGUAGGAUAUUUCACAGGAAGUUUAUGGAAUUUAUUCUGUGAAUGUCAAGGUAGAAGUGAAAAAAGAUUUUACUGAUUUAAAGAGAGGGAGACAAAGAGACACACUGUCCUAACCUGACUCUAGAAGGAAGAGGCUGAAGCAAGAAUUAAGAUGCCAACAGGAGUUCCCAUUGUUGCUCAGUGGGAUAAGGACCAGACAUAGUGUCUGUGAGGAAGUGAGUUUGAUCUCUGGCCUUGCUCAAUGGGUUAAAGAUCAAGUGUUGCCACAGCUGAGGCAUAGGUCGCAGAUGCAGCUCGCAUCUGGCAUUGCUGUGGUUGUGGUGUAGGCCGGCAGCUGCCGCUCCGAUUCAACCCCUAGCCGGGGAACUUCCAUAUGUUGCAGGGGUGGCAUUUAAAAAAAAAAAGUUAAGACAUUUCAUUUUGGUUGUGCAUGCUCUGGUGAUUAUGGUGGAAGGAAGAAAGAGAGGAAAGGGAAGAAGACAGCAGCGUGAUGGGAUAUUAUGCUAUCUCUGCCUUCACCACCAGCAGGGAGGACACACAGCUGAAGACCCAGCAGGGUGGGAGAUUUCACACGGACUUCUCCAGCUGGACUGUGAGGAGAAACCACACCCUGGAUGUCUGCUGAAGGAAGAAUGAAAAGGUAGUUUAUUUCCCUGGUUCCCUGAUGUCCCCAUUUUUCAUGAGUCAAAUUCUCCCUUUUGGGGAGCUUUCUUUCGAUUUGGGUUGAUCGGAGUCCAGGCUUUUUAGGAUGCUAAAUUCCAUACUUGGUGGGCUGGUGUUUCACCCAGGACUGAAAGUGGCAUUCUCUCCCAACAAGAAGAAAUGAGGGUACUCGAGGGCAUCUAAGAUGAUGCAUAAUUUUAUAUUUUCAAACUCAUUUACUGGUUUUGCCUCUCAGAUCUACUCAAACCUUCCCAGUGUAUUCAGCUCCCAACCACAAUGUUUCUUUCUUGGGAACAAAGUGGUCCUCAAUCUUUGCCUGUCAGAAGUAGUUCAGGUCUAACUAGCCCCAGAUUCUUCAAGGCAGCUCAUCAUGAUUUCCAAGUAGAAGAAAGCAAGAGUUAAAUCAAGUAACAUUCCCCAGCUCUGGCUGCUUUCAAGGCAGUCAAACAGUUCCUUGAUGCUGCCACCAGGUGGAGCCAUUGAACCAAGUCGGAUUCCUCAUGCCCUGAGUAGGGAUGGUGGAUACAUAGUGUAAGUUACAACUGCCAUAAGAAAACUUUGAACAGUGUUUCCAAAUAAAAGGUAUACUAAUUAACAAAGUGUUCUUAAGAAAGUACCUACUUAGAAAAUCUUUAGAUUUUUGUGUUGGGGUGAUUUGGAAACAAAAUAUAUUUUAUUGAGAACAAAUUAUUUCUUUUCAUAUCAUUUCAACAACACUUCUUAAAAGAUUAUGUGCCCUUCCCUGUGCUGGACUCUGAAGCUACAAGGACAAGUAAGAUGCAAAGGCAGUCAUAAGCCAGUAGAGAAGAAAACACACACAAAUAUAAAUAUUUUGUCUUUUUAGGGCCUCACCCGCAGCACAUGGAGGUUCCCAUGCUAUGGGUUGAAUUGGAGCUAUAGCUACUGCCACUUAAUUGACAAGACUAGUGCUGUCUAAUGGAACUUUCUGAGAUGGUGAAGAUAUUCUGCAUCUGCACCAUGUGAGACUGUGGCCACUAGCCAUAUGUGGCCAGUGAGUGCUUGAAAUGUGGGUAGUGUGAUAGAGGAACUAGAUUUUAAAUUCUGUUUAGGUCAGAUUUAAAUAGUUGCGUGUGGCUAGUGGCUACUAUACUGGGCAGCCAGAUCUGGUUAGGAGCUAUUACCUUGUGGAAGAGAGAGAUUAUGUUAGAAAAAUCAGCAGAGACUUUCGUGCCUCUGUGUGUGGGGGGGACCAGGGUACCGAGGAAUGGUAACUGGAAGAAAGGUACAGGCUAGAUAGCACAUAGGAGGGUGAGGUCCCUGGCAGGGAGGGGGCUGUGGUGUUUGGUGGCAGGGGAGUGGGGGCUGUCACUGUGAUUGGAGGUGAGACUUCUGACCCAGCAUCUGGAGCCUUGUUGGUGCCUAAUUAUGUCCAGUCCCCAUUCAAGUUUGCUCACACUUUGCCUGUGCAGAGAUACUGUGAUGACAGGUCUGUCUCUUGUGAGCCCACUGACAGCCAGCUUGUCCCCCUUGACUGUCCAGCUGCAGAGCCAUUGUUCUGUGCCCUCAUAUUUUGCUUAGCAACAAUCUGACCCACCCCCAUGUGGACAAUAUAAUAAACAACAUAUGACAUGGAUGACAAAAGCCAACCUUACUACUUAAAAUAUGAGUGCAAAUUUAAACAUUUAAAUUAAAACUUAAAAACAUUAGACUUGGAGUUCCCAUCAUGGCAUAGCAGAAAUGAAUCCACCUAGGAGCCACGAGGUUGCGGGUUCGAUCCCCAGACUCCCUCAGUGGGUUAAGGAUCUGGCAUUGCCCUGAGCUGUGUUGUAGGUCACAGACAUGGCUCGGAUAUCGGAUGUGGUGUAGGCUGGCACCUGUAGCUCCGAUUAGACCCUUAACUUGGGAACCUCCAUAUGCCGUGGGUGCUGCUCUGAAAUGACGACAGACCAAAAAAGAAAAACCUCAAAAAACAUUAGACUUGAGUUUUUUUUUAUUUAUUACCCUUAGGACAAUCCCUUGUGUUAAGUGGGCUUUGGUUUCCCCCUCUGUGAUCUGUUUCUAGUUUCCCUGGGUAGAUUUCUUUGCUUUAUAAAAUUCUAAAAUGAACACAAGUUGAAACAUACCAGGUCCCCUUUCCUGCAGGCCCUUUGCUACGGAGCUGGUCGGGUGACUAAUGCUUCUGCUUCCUGUUAUUGUCUGAAAAGGGUAUGUGAAAUCUUGGCUUUUAGCCAUUAUUCAGAGACCGGUUAAGUGCACACGUCCCUGGAAAUCCCCAAGUGAAACUGCAGUGAAGGGACUUAAUAUGUUACAAGUGGAAGAGGUGGUCAGUUCCUGAGAGGGAGACUUGCGGCCUGGGAAUUCAUUUCUCCCAGGAAGCUACCUUCCAAGUGCCCACCUUCACCUGAGGACAGUCCUCCAGUCAGUCACGUGCCCUCUGUACAUUCACUCAUGUCGCAAACACUUAUCGAGCACCUACUUGGUGCUGGGUGUGUAGGAUUUCACAGUUUAAUAUUUCUCUGCCCUCAUGGAGCUUGUAUGCCAGCAGGGGAGAAAGAACAAUAAGUAAAUACAUCUGUAAUAUGUCAGGAAAAGGAAGAAGGAGUUUAAAACAUGUAAAUGUGAUGGACGGCAAGGAGACCUCAGAAAUGGGUGGUGAUUUAAGAGAGGAGUCAGGAAGGAAUUCUCUUGUGCUACAGUAGGUUGAGGAUCUGGAAUGGUCACUGUAGCGGCUCGGGUUGCUGCUGUGGUGUGGAUUUGAUCCUGGCCCAGGAACUUCUACCUCUGCAGGUGCUGUCAAAAAGAGUCAGGAAACGUCUCUCUGGGAAGGUGAGGUUUGAGCAGACUGGAAUGAUGGGAGAGUAUGAAACCUGUGAGUGUCUGGGGAGAAGGAUGUUCCAUACAGAAUGACCAACCAACACAAGAGUGAGCUUGGCCCAUUCUAGGAAAAUCACGCAGGACAAUUGGACCAAACUGAAGAGAAUGAGGCAGGGAGUGAAAGGAGAUGCAACUGGAGAGGUGGGUACGAGCUGGACGUCUUAGACCUUACGGGAUCUGGUAAGGAGUUCGGGUUUUUUCCCAAGUCUUAUGAGAGGCUGUUGAAGCAGGGAUGAGACAGAUCUGAUUUAUGCUUUAGGAGGAGCAUUCUGGUUGCUAUCUGGAAACCCUGAUCACUGAGGAACUGAGGAGUGAAGAAGGAAUUGGGGAGUCCAAGUGCAAGACUGUUGCAGGGAUGUAGGUGAGUAGUGGUGGUUGCUUUGGUCUAGGUGGUAGCAGUGGAAAUGGUGAAAGGUAGUGGGUUUGAAAUAAAUUUGGAAUCCAGUUGGGUGAAUUGGAUAUGGGUUGUAAAGAGAAGAGUAAAAGUCUUCUAUGUUUUAUUUUUAUUAUUGUUUUCUUUUUUAGCCACCCCGUGGCAUAUGGAGUUCCUGGCCAGGGAUCAGAUCUGAGUCACCUUUGCAACCUACACCAUGUCUGCGGCAAUGCUGUAUCCUUAACCCACAGUGCUGGGCCAGGGAUCAAACCUGUGUCCCAGCGCUGCAGAGACACUGCCAAUCCCAUUGCACCACAGUGGGAACUCCAGAAAAAGUGUCCUGUGUUUUGAGUCUGAUAAACCAGGUGAAUAUUUACAGGAACGAGGAAGGCUGGAGGGAGGGCUGACGAGGGUGAGGGGUUCACCAAGCAUAGAUGGCUAGAGAUGAUGGGAAUUGAGGGGACAGGUCAGGGAUCAAGAUGUGGAGUUGAGAUUCUUAAGUGUCUAGAUGUAUUUAAAGCCUGGAUUUGAGUAAGAUCAUCCUUAGGGAGAAAAGUAGAUACAUGAGAGAGUUGAAGACUGAGCCCUGAGAUGUUGGGAGGAGGAGGAAGGGUCAUCCAUAGAGAUGGGGAAGAGACUUGCAGUGAUCUCUGGAGAGUUUUCAAGGAAGGGGGUUGAUUGCUUCAGUAAUACUUCAGUGAUGAUGGAGACCACUGGUGUCUGGACAAAAUCAAGUUCAGGGGCAUAGUAGGGGUGAGCACUUGAUCGGUGUGAAUUGAAACCACAAUGAGAAGUAAGGAAAUGAAGAUAUAAGUAUAAAUAAUUCUUUUUUUCCGGAAGAUUUCAUGUUUUUUUUCUUUCUAAAUUUAAAGUGUAGGUGAUCUAUAAUGUGCCAAUUUCUGCUGUACAGCAAAGUGAACCAGUCAUACAUGUAUGUACUUUCCUUUUCUUAAAAAAUAUGGAAUACUUCACAAAUGUUAUCCCCAUGCUGGGGCCAUGCUAAUCUCUGUAUCGUUCUAAUUUAAGUCUGUGUGCUGCCCAUGGGAGCGUCUAGACAGUUCUAUUUAGAAGUUUUACUAUAGGGGAGUUCCCGUCAUGGCUCAGUGGUUAACAAAUCUGACUAGGAACCAUGAGGUUGUGGGUUUGAUCCCUGGCCGCACCCAGUGGGUUAAGGAUCUGGCGCUGCCAUGAGCUGUGGUGUAGGUCACAGAUUGU